RNAcentral lists this long non-coding RNA (1305 nucleotides) under Fukomys damarensis (Damara mole-rat). RNAcentral's name for it is "lncRNA (ENSFDAG00000028935.1)". The record is from RNAcentral. Lineage: Eukaryota; Metazoa; Chordata; Mammalia; Rodentia; Bathyergidae.
GUUCGAUACCAUGCCAUGGACUGUGUAGUGAAAUCUUGGUAAACAUCUCCACUCACUUCGUGGAAGGGAUGCGUCCUUGUGGAUUUGCUGGAAAAUAGGACUGUGAUGCUAGUCUGAGACAUGUGUGACAUGCAGGGGUAAGGGAGACCCAGCUGGGGCAGGUGGGCUUUUUGGCAGCUCUGCCUUUCAGAAGGUCCUCCCCUAGGUCAUGUCCCUAACAUGAGCAGAACACUAUUUCUCAGAGUCCUUGAUCAGAUGAUAUCAAAGUAAUUGAAAUGGCAGAGGAGAAAGUGAAUUUAAGACUGAAAUCCACAACUGCUACAAUUAGAGGUCCAGGGAUUUGGCUCAGUGGUUCUGCUGCCUGCCUUGCAUGUGCAAGGGCCUGAGUUCCAACCCUGGUACAAAAAAAAAAAAAAAAAAAAAAAAAAAAAAAAAAAAAAAAAAAAAACAACAACAAAAAGUGCUACUAUUAGAAAGCUACCAUAACAUGGCAGCAUCCUUCUCCGUUAGUAAUGGUUUCCUGGAUUGCGUUGGGAAGGCGGCCUUCAUGAGAAAACCGUUCCCAGACAGUAUUGGAAAGUUGCGGAUCCAUUUUUACCAUUUCUCCAAGUAUGGUUUGAAACAGUAACUGUCAGAUUCCGGAAGUAUCAGGAUGGCAGCAAAAAAUCCGUCGCAUACAGCAACAAAGUGUCUGAGUGGUCUGAAAUUGAACACUGCGCUUAAUGGCACGGUUCCUUUUGUACCUCUGGCUCUCACUUGUUUUUAUUAGAUUGUUUUUGUUUCUGAUAAAAUAACUAUGAAUUCACUGGAAGCUUGGUAAGUGAGAGAUAACACAAGUCACACACUGUGGCAAUAGUCACAUGUGGACAACAUUAACAACCUGGCAUUAAUCUGUACUUUGAGAUAUGUGAUAGAAAGGAGAAGCUACACAUUUGUAAAUCAAAAUGUAUCCUGCUUCAGUUCAUUUAUCUUCUACCAUCUCUUGUUAAAUUCACCUGGACUCAUUUCCCUCACUUCGUUGAGAAGGUGACUUUAAAUUUUUUUUAAAUUAAUUAAUUGUUUUUUGUACCAAAAAUACUACUCUGGACCUUGAAUUUUUGAGGCAGGUGAAGCACCACUGAGCUAAAUCCUCACACAAGAUGAUGGGUUUUUUUUUCCCCCUUUGGUUUUUUGAGACAGGGUUUCACUAUGCAGUUGAUACUGCCCUGGAACACACUAUGUAGCCCAGGUUGGCCUCAAACUCACAGCAUUUCUCCUGCCUCAGCCUCUGGAGUGCUGGGAUUACAGGCAAGCACCACCACACCC